Molecule: ribosomal RNA, 585 nt
Filed under: Triticum aestivum (bread wheat)
Lineage: Eukaryota; Viridiplantae; Streptophyta; Magnoliopsida; Poales; Poaceae
Description: partial small subunit ribosomal RNA
Source: RNAcentral
AUGGCUCGUAGCACAUCUGGGAAUUACUACUCACCUGCCGCAGGAACACUUUACUUUGAUAAACGCCCACUAGGUGUGAAGCCAACGGAGGUGGUAUUUGAUAGCGGUAGCACCUAUACGUACUUUGCUGCCCAGCCAUACCAAGCGACUGUUUCUGCGAUCCAAGCUGGUCUCAGCAAGUCACUUACCAAGGUGUGUGACCCCAGUCUACCUCUUUGCUGGAAAGGGCAGAAAGUAUUUAAAUCUGUGUCUGACAUCAAGAAGGAGUUCAAAUCACUCUUCAUGAGGUUUUCGAAGAAUACAGCCAUGGAGAUCGCUCCUGAAAACUACCUCAUUGUUACCAAAAAUGGAAAUGUGUGCUUGGGCAUUCUUGACGGGUCGGUGGCUAAACUUAAUUUCAACAUGAUUGGAGAUAUCACAAUGCAGGAUCAGUUGGUAAUUUAUGACAAUGAGAAAGGGCAACUUGGAUGGGCCCGUGGAUCAUUCAGUAGGGGCACUAAGUAUAUUAUAUCUUCAUUUACAUGGUAUUUUCUUAUAAUCCAAGUUUUAGCCCAUCCGUUAAAAAGCUGGAUAUAUCAUUAUUGA